GUGCCAGCAGCCGCGGUAAUACGUAGGGCGCAAGCAUUGUCCGGAAUUAUUGGGCGUAAAGAGCUCGUAGGCGGCCUGUCGCGUCGGAUGUGAAAGCCCGGGGCUUAACCCCGGGUCUGCAUUCGAUACGGGCAGGCUGGAGUUCGGUAGGGGAGAUCGGAAUUCCUGGUGUAGCGGUGAAAUGCGCAGAUAUCAGGAGGAACACCGGUGGCGAAGGCGGAUCUCUGGGCCGAUACUGACGCUGAGGAGCGAAAGCGUGGGGAGCGAACAGGAUUAGAAACCCUUGUAGUCC
RNAcentral lists this ribosomal RNA (292 nucleotides) under uncultured bacterium. RNAcentral describes it as "partial 16S ribosomal RNA". It matches the Rfam family "Bacterial small subunit ribosomal RNA", at positions 505 to 796 of the family's 1533-position model. The record is from RNAcentral.